This is an unclassified non-coding RNA of Callithrix jacchus (white-tufted-ear marmoset), 284 nucleotides long. It matches the Rfam family "Metazoan signal recognition particle RNA". From Rfam's summary of the family: The signal recognition particle (SRP) is a universally conserved ribonucleoprotein. It is involved in the co-translational targeting of proteins to membranes. NCBI's taxonomy places the organism in Eukaryota, Metazoa, Chordata, Mammalia, Primates, Cebidae. The record is from Ensembl.
UCUCUGGGGCAGUCCAGGCUACUCGGGAGGCUGAGGUGGGAGGAUCGCUUGAGCCCAGGAGUUCUGGGCUGUAGUGCGCUAUGCCGAUCGCGUGUCCGCACUAAGUUCAGCAUUAAUAUAGUGACCUCCCGGGAGCGGGGGACCACCAGGUUGCCUAAGAAGGGGUAAACCGGCUUAGGUCGGAAACGGAGCAGGUCAAAACUCCGUGCUGAUCAGUAAUGGGAUCGCACCUGUGAAUAGCCACUGCACUCCAGCCUGGGCAACAUAGGGAGACCCCGUCUCUU